RNAcentral lists this long non-coding RNA (491 nucleotides) under Bos indicus x Bos taurus (hybrid cattle). RNAcentral describes it as "lncRNA (ENSBIXG00000009645.1)". Lineage: Eukaryota; Metazoa; Chordata; Mammalia; Artiodactyla; Bovidae. The record is from RNAcentral.
UCAUGAGGUGUGUAUGAUUUUGGUUGACCUUUUAAUGAAAUGCUUUCUUCCUACCUCUUGCAGCAGGUACAUUUCUCUUCCUCAUCUCCAUUCUAAAGUUCUGGAUUCCAGCUCCAGUCCUGUCACCAGAUGGCCAUCUGUUCUUGGCAGCAGCAUCUUCAGCAUUAGACUGAUGCCGAACCUGAAACUCCAAUACUUUGGCCAUCUGGGGUGAAGAGCUGACUCAUUUGAAAAGAGCCUGAUGCUGGGAAAGAUUGAAGGCGGGAGGAGGAGAGGACAGAGGAUGAGAUGGUUGGAUGGCAUCACCGACUCAAUGGACAUGAGUUUGAGUAAGCUCUGGGUGUUGGUGAUGGACAGGGAGGCCUGGCGUGUCCAUGGGGUCACUGAGUUGGACAUGACUGAGCUACUGAACUGACUGCCUGACUGCCUUUAUUUCAGCCCAUACUGUUUCCUCUCUCUAAAUGCUCUUUACUGUAUCUGGUGCAGAGGUA